AAAGGAUGGAAAAUGCCAAAAAUGUCAUUCUUUCUGGAAGUUCUGCAGGAGGCAUAACUGCAAUUUUGCAUUGUGAUCGGUUUCGAUCACUUUUGCCAUUCGAUGCAAAACUUAAAUGCUUUUCUGAUUCUGCAUAUUUUGUGCACGAGAAAUAAUAUUUGAUGGGGGAGAAGAAAUUUGAGAGUUUCUUUGAAGGAUUGAUUACAUUACAUGUAAUAUAGCAAAUUUGUAUACU
Ipomoea nil (Japanese morning glory) is the source of this 235-nucleotide long non-coding RNA. RefSeq lists it as uncharacterized. NCBI's taxonomy places the organism in Eukaryota, Viridiplantae, Streptophyta, Magnoliopsida, Solanales, Convolvulaceae. The transcript is spliced from 3 exons. The record is from RefSeq and is a predicted model, not a curated record.